ACUUUCUAGAAUGUUCUAGCAACAAGAUCACGCAGUAUAUACCUUUUGGGCCUCGUUUCAUUCACUCGUGAUAACUUGAGGUUCAUCCAGUUCGCUGUGGGUCUCGACAGUCCAUUCCUUUUCAUUGUUGAACAGUAUUCCAUUGCUUAGAGACUGAAAAUCGAGGGGUGUCUGGAAGUCAGCGGAGGAGAGAGCCCUGCGGUGUGUAGCUGCCUAUACCUUGUCAAACAGGCUUCCUCCAAUCAUGAGCCUUAUUGUUACUGACGUCAGUUGAUGCUAUAAUUGGAUAUGGAGAUGGAGCGUGCGCAGAUGUAAUAGGGAUUGAAGCGUUCUGAGCCCAUGAAGAUGUCAAAAAAUAAAAAGAUAAAUACCGCAACAGGGUCCUAUCAUCCUUGCUGCAGUCACCUGGCCCCUUUUGACGUCGCCCUGUGCAAGGAACAGAGGCAGCUGGCACCUGGGACUAGACUUACUUUCAUUGUCUAUCCUAUUCACUGUGACAUGGGAGGAAGCCAGCAGAGAACAGAGGGGCCAAGGAAUAACCCACUUAUCUCGUGGCAACAACAGUGAUGGUGACAAUACAAUAACAGUGAGAAUCAUGGAUGGAGCCUUUCUUUGGACCAGGCACUUUACAAGGUGCCCUUUCAGUUGGUUUUAUGAAUCCCAG
Molecule: long non-coding RNA, 664 nt
Organism: Myotis myotis
Lineage: Eukaryota; Metazoa; Chordata; Mammalia; Chiroptera; Vespertilionidae
Exons: 4
Source: RefSeq, a predicted model, not a curated record